UUCCCUUCCCCCCACGCCUCCGCCCAACACACACGCACACACAGUCCAGCCUCCCACCGGACACCUAACCUCAGUCCCCCCUGCAGCGCCAGGAGGAAUAAGUCAGGAGCUUUGACAACAGUGGUUCUCAAACUCCAGUGUGCCCCAGAAUCAACUGGAUGGUUUAGUAACACCGAUUGCUGGGCCUCAUCCUCAGAGAUACUGAUUCUGUGCUAAAACAUGCCAGACAGCAGAUUCUUAAUCUAGAAAAUUAUUUAAGGAGCAGCAACAAAAUUCAAAUUUUCUGACAGCGGAAGGUAGAACAGAAAGUUCUCAACUGGGGAUGAUUCUGGCCCCUGGGGACAUUUGUGGAGACAUUUUUGGUUGCCUCAACCUGAGGGGGUCAGGGGAAGUGUGUUCUACUGGUAUCUAGUGGGUCGAGACCAGGGGUGCUGCUCAACUUCCUGCAGUGCAAAACACAGCGCUCACAAUAAGGAAUUACCCAGCCCAGAAUGUCAAUAGUGCUAAGACUGAGAAACCUGGGCCUACAACUGUUUUCAAUACAAAUACAAAUGAAAAUGAGGGAGGCAGUCUGAACUUUACACACUGGAUGAAGAUCCUUUUCAAAGGUGGAAAUAAAGCAACCCUAAAGGAGGAACUCAACCUAGGGUACAAGAAGAGAGGAAACGUUUUGUUCCUUUGUGUUCCGCAUGUCAUUAGGAAGUACACGUGCGUGGACUAUUACAUUACAGUGAAUCAUGACCAUGUGUUCAUUCUAAACAUUGUUGUAUUUGUUAUUCCUAACUUUAAUAAACUGUAAAAUCUGAAUGUGGCAUCACCAAACACCAUGAAAUGUGUUCUCCCCUUUUCCAAUAGUGCAUCAACUAAUGGUUAAAUGUGAUCUGUAACUUGACAGAGUCUAUGCAAUCCUUCCACAUUUUAUUCGGCUUAGAGAUCACAGCCUCUAGAACAGAAUGAUAAUUUAAAGCAGAUGUUCUUCUAAACUAUGUUUCACUCAAAUCCAGCAAUAUGAUAAAGGGAAAAAAUGGGGAAACAUUGAUGGGGCUUCAGGAUAAAGGGUUUUAUAUUUUUCACAAUGAUUUGAAUGUUAGUUCUCUUCUUUUUCAGGCCACAUUCUGGUGUAUUCUCUCAUCAUUUAAUUACAUGUUACCUGUUGCUUUAGUCUACCCUUUCUGAUUUACUCCCAGUUUCUAUUUCAUUUAUAUAAG
Molecule: long non-coding RNA, 1208 nt
Organism: Pan troglodytes (chimpanzee)
Lineage: Eukaryota; Metazoa; Chordata; Mammalia; Primates; Hominidae
Exons: 3
Source: RefSeq, a predicted model, not a curated record